Molecule: RNA transcript, 1191 nt
Organism: Magnolia sinica
Lineage: Eukaryota; Viridiplantae; Streptophyta; Magnoliopsida; Magnoliales; Magnoliaceae
Gene name: translation initiation factor IF3-4, chloroplastic
Exons: 10
Source: RefSeq, a predicted model, not a curated record
UAUUCCAAAUUAACAAUUCUCUCUCCCUCUCUCCCUCUCUCUCCAUGUUGGAAAUCACAUGAACACUCCCUUCCACUAACAUACGCAGAGGGUGUUGGGCUCUUAACCUGCGCACUCCAUCCUCCAUGGCUGGAAUCAGCACCACCAGCUUCCCAUGCAAGCCAAUCUUAUCGCGUACACUUGCAACCCCUCUAUACCAACUCUCUCCAUACUCGACCAGAACUGACUGCAGUCGAUCCGUCCCUACCGUCGUCCUGCGGGCUACCAUAACAGCCAGGUUCGGCGGCGGCGGCGGCUUCCGUCCCAGCCCGGGCGACUCGAGGCGCCCCAGAGGUCCUCGGAAGGUCGAGUUCGAACCCGAUCCUGCCCUUGAUCUAUCCACCGUCAGAUCACCUUCUGUAAGGCUAAUAGAUGAACAACAGAAUAUGGUUGGGGUGGUGUCAAAAAAUGAAGCCAUGCAGAUGGCGGAAAAUGCUGAACUUGAUCUGGUGAUAUUGUCUCCAGAUGCAGAUCCUCCCGUCGUCAGAAUAAUGGAUUACAACAAAUAUAGGUAUGAGCAGCAAAAGAAGAAAAGGGGGCAACAGAAAAAAAGUGCUGCAAGUCGUAUGGAUAUGAAGGAGCUCAAAAUGGGGUACAACAUUGAUUCUCAUGAUUAUUCCGUGCGGUUGAAAGCUGCCCAGAAAUUUCUCAAAGAUGGAGACAAGGUUAAGGUCAUAGUGAACCUGAAGGGCCGUGAAAACGAGUUCAGGAAUAUUGCCAUCGAACUUAUCAAACGGUUUCAGAAUGAAGUUGGGGAGCUUGCAAUGGAGGAGAGCAAAAAUUUCAGUGAUAGGAACAUCUUUAUUGUUCUAAUCCCCAACAAGACAGUUCAGCAAAAGGCACAAGAACUUCCAAAUAAACGGGAAAAGCCAGUGACUGGAGUUUCUGCAGGUGUCUGAUGAGAAUCGUGAUUUCUGCAUGGGUGGUUUUGACAUCUAGUAAUGAAAAAGCAUUCCCACCUUUAAGGGGUCCAGAUUGUCUGUCCGGUUGGCCCCACUGCGGAUAUGUGAUGAACCAAAGUUUGUGAAGGUUGGAUAAUCCCAACCAUCCGAUUGUUGGCCUGCAAAUGAUGGUUAGAAAUUUAUUUAUGUAUAGUGAACAGUCUAUGCCAUGUGAAGAAGUUGAUCAAUAAGAUGUGUAGGAGUUAGUGGC